AUGGUUUCUGAUUUUUGCACCUGCAAAUGCUAAAGUCCUCUCUGCAGAAGGACAAGAUGGUGCAAUAGGAGUUGGAUUUUAUACACGGAGUUCAACUUUAUACAUGUUAAGUUUGUAGAGGUUAUGAGACAUCCAUAAGGACUUGCUAAGCAGACAUUUGAUUGACUAGGUCCUAGAAUUCAGAUGCAAGGUCCUGGUUAAACAGUCACUGUGGAGUUCACUCAUAAUUAACUAGCAACUGAAGUUGUUGUUGAGAAUUAAUGAGACCUAUUGAGAUAUUAAAAAUAAAAGGAACUAGGGUAUAACUAAUAUUUAAAGGUUAUGAGAACGGGAAAGCCAGUACAAGAGAACAUGCAAAGACAGAGGGGUAAUAUGACAUCAGAGAAAUCAAUGGAAGAAACCAUUUCAAACAAUCAACUAUGUCAAAAGAAUUCUGAACAGUUAAGACAGAAACUGGAAAUCUACUGAUUGUAAGAACUGGACAACAGGAUGAGGGCUGGAGGAUGAGGAGGUGUGAUUUGGGUGUUUGUCCCAUGUAGGCAAAGAAUCGGGCAUAGAUGGGUGAUAGUGGACACUGGGGACUCAGCCCCGGUGGAGAGACACUUACUGUGAGGGACUGAAGGGAAUGGUUUGUGGCUAUUUAUAGUGACGGUGGUUAGAAAUGGAAGGGAUUGCUGCAGGAUGGGGUCAUUUGAUUUUUCCUGUAAAAUAGAGGUGAUGGUUAUUUGCUGAGGAUGAUGGGGCAGGAGAAGUAGAACGAAGCUUUGUGAGAAGGAUAAAGCAUGAAAAGCGGGACUAGAAGUUACCUGGUGGAAGGCUGUGGUCUAGGGCCCCAUCUCCAGAGAACAGUUCAGAGACAAGAAGUGUUCCUUGCGUUCAUUUGUUUGUUUUAUAGCGAUGAGGAUCAAACCCCAAGGGUUUAUAAGUAUUUGAUUAAGUUCUCUACCACUAAGUCACAUUCCUCAGUAGUCUCUGAGAACAGAGAAAGACUCUGAUUAUCCUUCUAGUCCAACACUUAUACCUCCCAGCUGGACUGCAGCAGAAUUCUCACUGGGCCUAAGCCUCACCCAAGUGCCCCCAUACUGUGUUUUCUACAUAGCUCUCCUGUUCUCUCUCUCUUUCCUUCCCUGCUUCCUGAUGGAUUGUAGUAUGAUCAGCAGCCUCAGACUCCAGGGCUAAGACCUUUCUUCCAAGAAGGCCUAUUAUAGUCAAACUUUGAUCCAAAUAGACCCCUCUUUCCUAGCUGGCAGUGUUGGCAUACACCUUUAAUCUCAGCAUUUGGGGGACAGAGGCAGGCAGAUCUCUGAGAGUUUGAGGCCAGCCUGGUCUACAAAGUGAGUUCCAGGAGAGCCAGGGUCACACAGAGAAACCUUGUCUCAGAAAACCAAAAAAUAAAAUAACCUUAUCCCCUAAGUUGCUUUUGAUAGGAAUUCUGUUACAGCAAGGAGAAAAGUAAUGAAUGCAGUCCUCAGUGGAUUGGUUGGUGCACAGCCCUGUCUGUGAGGGUAGAGGUUCUUUCCUAGUCUACUGAUUCUAAUGCUGAUUCCAGAAAUAAUGUCUUACCUGCCCCUUUGAGGCAUCCCUUAGGCAAAACAGACUGACAUAUACUUAAGUAGCACAGAACGCUUGGAGAUGGGAUUUUCACAAAAGAAUGGGGAUAAAAAUAGUGAUCUAAGAUAGUGGAGGGGAGAAAGGAGGACAAUUGGGAGAUAAGUCUGGGCAGAUUUAUCAUCUCGGGAGAAGACUGCUGGAUAAUUCGGGGUCUAUAAGGGCAUCUGUUGGUCAAGGAGCAGACACUUCAGAGUAUUUGCGGGAGGCAGUGGUAGAUAGUAUAUUAAAACAAUGAAACUCUAAGUCGGAGAGUUGGGGAGUGGAGAGCAUGUAUGAACAGCAGGAAGCUGAGUCAGGACCAAGAAAUAGCUAAUAUAUGAGGACACAGAGGACAGUUCCAGUCGUCUUCAUACUUUGAAGGGUGUCAAAAUAACAGGCAGAGCUUAUUACAAUACAGGUCCUUAGGUCACAGCCCCAGAGUUAGUCAUUGAUAUGGGAUGGGGCUGAGAAUUGCAUUAGAAGAUUUUUCUUCAUGUAGAUGGUCCAAAGACCACACCUUUAGACCGUAGAUGUAAUAGAUCAGUGAUUAAUGUGGCAAUGAAAAUAGUGAUGACAAGCUACAGUGGAUUAAUCUGAAACAUUUCCUGAAGCCUGCCAGGGCCUGUGCUAACCACCAGUGAGCCUGACUCCACUGACCAUCAACUCGACAUCUGGGGCCUCAACACAUUAAGCAUGGAGAUGCCAUGUGAGUCUGAUCUUACUUCCAAUGUUGCCACCUAAGUCCCAGAAAGCGAGCAUGUCACUGGGUCCAGAAACCCUUACUGUAUGUGGUGGUUUGAAUGAGGCUCACAUUUAACACCCAGUCCCCAGUCAGUGUCUGACUAGGGAGGCGGGACAGCCUUGCUUGCAGGAAGCGUGUUACUGGAAGUUGUGAGAGUCCAGAGCCUCAGACCGCUUCCACUUUGUUCUCUCCUUCAUAUUGAAGGUUGAAGAUGUGAUCUCUCAGCUUCGCACUCCGCCUGCCUGCUGCCUUACUGCUCCCACCACACAGUCUCUCCUGGAAGCCCAAACCCAAAUAAACUCUUCCUGCUAUAAAUUGUCCAUGGCCAGGUAUUUUAUAGCACAGUAGGAAAGUAACCAAGUGCACUAUGGCACACUCCUUUCAGCAGCCUCCAGCAGGGUCUUUCCAUCCAUGAAUUUGGAGGCUGUUUACGCUUCACCCCAUGGAAUGAGAGGCCUGAAGAACCGGAAGAAGCAUUGGGGCUUGUGCUGUGGGGUCUCAGUAGUGAUAUAAUCAGGCACCUGGCUCCUCUGACGAGCAGCAGUGGGGCUAGAACAACAAGGGCUGUCAGGCAUGCAGACAGCUUGGUUAGGACAGCAGUGACAAAGAGCUGUUGAUAAACCUUAGGUCUCAGACUUCAACAGGCCAGGAUACAAAGUCGUCAUUGGGUCAAUGUCCCCAAACUUCCCUAGUCAACUAGCAGGGAUUCCAGUCAUUUCCAGAGUUUUCCUUAAAAAUGUCCAGAAAGAGAUGACAGAGCUGAAAUUUGGGACACUCUGAUGAGAGGGGAUUCAUUGAUUCUUGGCUAAACUCUGUAUUUGAUUUUUUUUUUUUUUUUUGAGUCCUGUCUCACUAUAUAGCGCUGGCUGGCCUGGAACUCAGAUCCUAACACCUUUGCCUUGCAGCAUUGUCUUAAGUGUCUUAACCAGGACAUCAAGGCUCUAAACCUUGGCUUUGUUGCUGUUACAGUGUCAUGGCACCCCUCAUAUUUCCUUCCCCACCGAAUGAUGUUCCUAGGAGGGUUUACACGUGCCCCAAGAAUCACUCCUGGCUGCCACUUGCUGCUAAUGGAGUUAUGAGCCACAUGGUCGAUGACUUUCAGACAGAAACAUUAGUGUGUGACAAGGGUAGUGUUAGAAAUGCAGUCUGGACAGACCUUGGGAACUACAGUAGGAAAGUGAGUGGCAUUUUAGAUCAGAGCCAGACAAAAUAGAAUGGCAAAAUUCUUCCUCUGGCACCAGUGGUCUAGCGGGCCAUCAAGUAUUCUAGACUAAUGGCCCCAAUAAACACACUCAACCCAUUAGUCCUUUUGAGAGGAGUAAAACUACUCCCCACCCGAGACACACACACACACACACACACACACACACACACACACACACACACACACACACUUCUGCACUUCUUGAGAUGAACCUGAGUUUACACCAGGCCCUUUCCUCUAAUUAGUUAUGGGGGGAAAGUUAGGCCACCUCUAAAACCCCGUGUGUGUCCUGGCUGGGGACUAUCCCAGGGCAAGCCCUAACAGAGGCAGAGACCUACAAGAACGUUGCAUAUUUGUCUGGUCAAGCCUUAGAAAGUCUGUAUAGUGCCCUGUCCUAUAUCCUUGGAGCACGGUAAACUUAGCUGGAAAUUAGGGUGAAUUAAGCACAGUUUGGUAGUAGUGAACAUUCUCCAAAAAACUUCACAGUGCUACUUAGUGGAUCUGGUAUCUGUUCUCACCAAUAAAUAACUGUGUUCACAUCAGAGUCACCACAGAUGCCUUUCCCCCAAUACACAUUUCAUAUACUCGCUUUGCACCACCAUUAUUCAAAGACUAUAUAUUUCUUCCAACACACUGUGCAUGAAACUUAGAAACCUAUUUUCUUACCUAGGUCUUAGGUAACCUAUUUUUUUAAAAGAGUUAUUUAUUAUAUAUAUGUGCACUGUAGCUAUCUUCAGACACCAGAGGAAGGCAUCAGAUCUCAUUACAGAUGGUUGUGAGCCACCAUGUGGUUGCUGGGAUUUGAACUCAGGACCUCUGGAAGAGCAGUCAGUGCUCUUAGCCACUGAGCCAUCUCUCCAGCCCUUGACAAUCUUUUUGUCUAGGUGUUUACUUGAGUCCUUUACUAUAUCCCUUAUUAAAGUUCAAAACGUUUACCUGAGUUUCAUGAACCAUUUUAGCAAAUUAAUUGAACCCAGGCGAGAGUACUAGGGAUCCCAAUACAUAGAUGAUGUAUGGAAGUGUAGGUCAUCUUCUGUGCUUUAAACUGGUAUCAGGUGGGAACUGAACCCUCAAACUCUGGGGCCUGACAGAGUUCACUAUGUAACUCUGGCUGGCCUGGACCUCAUAGAGAUCCACCUGCCUCUGCUUCCAAGGACUGGGAUUAAAGGGCACCACUCGGCUUCUUUGUUACUUUUCAAGACUGAGCUUUGACUGCAUUCAAACUUAGAAGUAGCUCUCAGUGGGUACAACCUUGGUCUCUGGACAGUCCAUCCCCAGCUUUUGUCUUUAGCUUCCUUCAUUCUCUUAGCUCAUGCCACUGCCUCCUCCUCGCUUUCCUUAGUGUGUUGUUUCAGAGCAACAUUGUUGCAAGUAAUUUUUACUCUCUACCGGCCUGUAGUUCUAGGAAGUGACCACGCUAACAGCCCCCUCCCAACUUCCCUUGAAUCCACAGAUAAAAGACACACACCUUUUCCUUUUCAACUUGCCUUCUUGACACAAUUGCUAAAUUCCCCUGACCACCCACCUGUAAGAGCGGCCUCUAUGACCACUCCAUUUUGAGAUCUCACAUGGUUGCCAGGUUCUACUCUCCCCAAAGCCUGGGGAAACUGUUCUCCUACCUUUUGACCCUUUGCCUCAAGGGGUCCGGAAGUCCCACCUCUCCCUCCCUCCCAGCAAUUGGCCCAUGGCUUUCUUUACUGACAGAUCAAGAACCAAUUGGGAAACAGAACCUUAGCAUCAGAACCGCCCCCUACACGACACGUUCGUGUUUGUGUUACAGAGUACGUGGAAUGGGUGCUUUGGUUCUGAGCUUCUUUUCUUUUUAAGGGCUAUCUGACAACAUAUUGGUGGACGUCUUUAUUUUUUUCUUCAAAGCACAGUUUCUCUGUAAUCCUGGAUGUCUUGGAACUCUGUAGACCAGGAUGGACCAGACGGGUUUUGAACUCAAAGAUCCAUCUAUCUCUGCCGCAGGCGCCACAAUGCCCAGAUUCCAACUACACAACCCUUCUGCUCUUCACCAGAGUACCAGCAACUUCUGUGAGCAUGCGCUUCUCAUAGAAGGUUAUAGCACUAUCGCAGAACUACCAAGAAUGCAUCUAUCCACAAAACAGUGUUGACUAUCUAUGCCAUGUGGUUGAUGAAUGAGAAGAAAAAGCCAUACCAACUCUUGAGAAGUUCCAGUGGAUCCAACACCUUCACAUAAACACAGAUGAGGGCAAAACAUGGAUACGCAUGAAGUAAAAUAAACAUUUCUCCAAAAAGAUUUCAUUUUCCCAGAUACGUCAAGGUUUGUGUCAAGAUUUCCAGACAUGUGCUGUUCAAACUAAAUCUUGAGGGGAUAUGACUUGGGUCUGCCAAGAUGAGAUUUUGGCUACCAUCUUCUGUUUGGGUACAGAUAGAGAGAAACGGGCUGGCGAGCUACCUCAGUGAGUGAACAUGCUUGCUGCCAAUCUUGAAAACCCGAGUUCAAUCCCUGGGACCCAGAGCUGGAAGGAAAGAACCAAGUCUGGGUCUUUCUGUGUAGCCCUGGCUACCCUGGAACUUACUCUGUACACCAGGUGGCGAUGCUGGUUUGUCAACUCCUGAGAUUCCCAAAGCCUGAGCCAAGCGCCUGAAGGUAUGUGCAUGAAUGUGUGUGUCUCAGCACAUGUAUGAAGGUCCGAGGACAUUUGAGGGAGUUGGUUCCUCUCCUUGCAUCAUGUUGGCCCCAGGGAUUGAACUCACAUUCUCAGGUUUGGUGACAGAUGAGCCAUCUUGCUAGCCUGACUUUUCUUUCUUUAGCUGGGCCUGAUAGAACACCAGGGUUCUCUUUGUUAACCACCUGCUAAAUAAACGAUAUGUCCUUGUGUUUCCAUGGGGGGUUGGUUCUCUUACUUGCUGGCUGUACUAAAAUUAAUGUAUACUUGGGUCUUUAUGUAGAGAGGCACAUUGUUUCUACAUAACCAACACAUGUCUCCUGUAUACUUUGUACUUCAAAUCGCCUCUACUACAGAAUACAACAGUAAGUAAUGUGUAAAUGGUUAUUCCUUAUUUUUAAAAAGGUCCCCAUUCUGUUUUGAUAUUUUGUUGCUAUUGUUUGUUUUGAGACACAUUUCUCUAUGUGGCCCUGGCAGUCCUAGAACUCACUCCGUAGACCAGGUUGACCUGGAACUCAGAGAUCCACCUGCUUCUGCCUCCUGAGUGUUGGGACUAAAGGUGUGCGCCAUCACUGCCUGACUUGAUGUAAUUUUUUUUAUAUCUUUUACAACAUAAGGUUUUAUGUAUCUCAGGCUGCCUUCAAACUAACCGUGUAGGUGAAGACGAUGUUGAACUCUUUCUCUUCUUACCUCUCCCUCCUGGAUGCCGGGAUCACAGGACUGCACCACCUAUGUGGUCCAUGUGAUGCUGGGGAGGAGCCAGUGCCUUCAUCCCUGGUAGGUGCAUGCUCCAUUCUCCUGGCUAUAGUUGUUAGAACUACAACCUGGGAGGUACAGAGUUUUAAUGCCUCUUAUCUCUCUAUGCCUGGUGGACAUUAAGCGAUAUUGGCAUAGCCAAAUUGAAUGGUUCUGAAGCCAUGAGGCUGAGGGACUUGAGAACCUGUUACAGCAUGGCCACCUAGAAACACGUGGACAUUCUUUUUAAAAAUGCCCACUUCUCCUAGUGAACGACACACUUCUUUGUUUUGUUUUGUUUUUUAAGUCAUUAUUUUUAACUGUGUGUCUGCUGGUGCUCACAGAGGCCACAGGCAUAGGGUCUCUCCAGAGCUGGGGUUAAGAUAGUUAUGAGUCACCUGACAGAGAUGCUCCUUCUCAGGGAUUCUACAAGUGCACAUUCUUAACUGCUGAGCCGUCGCUCCAGUACCAGAACCAUGCGUUUCUUGGGGGAAAGAUCUCUUCCCUUCAUUUCUUUAUUCACGGGCUAGCAAUGUACCUGUUACCUGACAAGCAACCAUGGGAGCAAGUGAAUGGGAGAUGCUUCUGGCAGAGAGGAGGCUGUCCCAUAGUUACGAGGCUGUCCCACAGUGCAGACAUAGCGGCCUCUGCAGGUAGAAGUCUCAAGGAGGCUGGUCUCUUGAAUGAAAAGGAUCAAAGACGGAACCAAGAAGGAAAUGAACUACUUUCACAGGCAUUAACCUUCUCUCCUGAAACACAGAUGGGGAUGCAGGAGAAGGGGUUCCUUUGCCACGUGAGAGGCUGAAUAUCUGUAUUAUGCCGGCUUCGUGUCCAGAAUAGUGCUGAACAUACAGAAGGUCCUUAAAUAUUUGCUAAGCAAAUGAACCACCAUCUUGUACUAACCAAAGAUUCAUUCUGCAAAUAUUUAUCAAAAGUAUCUGUGUGUGUUAGCUUUGAGUGAAAAACCAUAGCUCAGCUCCCACCAAGGAAUAGAUAGAUCAUCCUGGUCAGGAGCACGGAGCGGAGCCUAGCCCUGUAAAUUUGAAACUCGGCUCUGCCUCCCACUUAACUUUACUGUGCUUCUGUUUCCAAGCCUGCAAAAUGGCGGACGAGGCACAAAACGGCACAAACAUAAAGGGGUUAUUUUGACAGCUAAGAGAACUAACACUUGCUAUCAACCUCUUCCGUGCUGACACUGAUUACUGAGAUCCCAUGUGGGUUUUAGGGGUGGCGCUCAUGCUGUCAGGUUUGGCAGCCAGCACCUUUACCUUCUAAGCCGUCUUCCAGGCCCCAUAUUGUCCUAUUUUGAGGGGAUUUUAAGAGCCAGAUUUCUUCAUAUUAUUUUCACAUUGCUUAUGAUUUUUCCUUCCCUCCACCCUGGUUGGUCAACUGGCCAUGCUUUAAUCCUUCUCUGCUGAUUGAUGAGUGCUGUCCAGGAUGCCAUGAGGAUGUUUUAAAGACUGCCUUGCCCUGACCUGGAAUGCUGGACAGGACAUGCAGAAGUUACCCAAGCACAGCCAUGGCAGGGUUGGCACAUCAUAUGUCAAAGCUUGGAGCCAGGGAGACCCUGGGGUGUAGAGGGGAUGAUGUCUGUUGUGUGGUUGGCACAUAGGUCACAUGAGGUGUGCAUAGGGAGGGAAGAAGAGGUAGGAGGGAUGCACAGGGCCAAGGUGAUACAAACUUCAGUUGAAGGGCAUUAGAAGUUGCAUUAAGUAGACUUUACACGUGAU
Molecule: non-coding RNA, 8637 nt
Organism: Rattus norvegicus (Norway rat)
Lineage: Eukaryota; Metazoa; Chordata; Mammalia; Rodentia; Muridae
Source: RefSeq, a predicted model, not a curated record